AAUGGGCGCAAGCCUGAUCCAGCAAUGCCGCGUGCAGGAUGAAGGCCUUCGGGUUGUAAACUGCUUUUGUACGGAACGAAAAGGCUCUGGUUAAUACCUGGAGCAUAUGACGGUACCGUAAGAAUAAGCACCGGCUAACUACGUGCCAGCAGCCGCGGUAAUACGUAGGGUGCGAGCGUUAAUCGGAAUUACUGGGCGUAAAGCGUGCGCAGGCGGUUUUGUAAGACAGAGGUGAAAUCCCCGGGCUCAACCUGGGAACUGCCUUUGUGACUGCAAGGCUGGAGUGCGGCAGAGGGGGAUGGAAUUCCGCGUGUAGCAGUGAAAUGCGUAGAUAUGCGGAGGAACACCGAUGGCGAAGGCAAUCCCCUGGGCCUGCACUGACGCUCAUGCACGAAAGCGUGGGGAGCAAA
This 410-nucleotide ribosomal RNA is filed under the name uncultured bacterium. RNAcentral's name for it is "bacterial SSU rRNA". It matches the Rfam family "Bacterial small subunit ribosomal RNA", at positions 370 to 772 of the family's 1533-position model. The record is from RNAcentral.